This is a long non-coding RNA of Rosa rugosa (rugosa rose), 932 nucleotides long. RefSeq lists it as uncharacterized. The record is from RefSeq and is a predicted model, not a curated record. The transcript has 3 exons. Lineage: Eukaryota; Viridiplantae; Streptophyta; Magnoliopsida; Rosales; Rosaceae.
CACCAUUUUGCAUUAUCAAACCACCGCCUUAUGAUCAAAGUGAGAGAGAAGAUAAAAGCUUAAUUAAACUUAUUAUUCUUCAAAGCACCUGGACAUUGUUUCUUGGUCUUUGUUGUCUAACUCGUAUUCAAAGCAAGCUUGCAGCACAUUUUGACAAUCAUAGUUCAAAUAUAUAUGUUUUAAAUCUCUUUGUCCUUAUGUGCAGGUCUUGAACAUUCCUCCACCUCCAAGUUUAACGUGGCUAGUUGAAAGAGAAUAGAAAAGCCAAAAGACUCUCAUCAUUGAUCUUCUUGCCGGUUACUUCAAUUUUGGGGAAAAUCAAAACAUGCAUGAGACCAAUUGUAGACUUGCAGAUGCUUUAGUUUCUUUGCUUCGAUUAUAAUGUUGCCUUGCAGACACCAUACAAGUCGUGAUUGGUUAAGCUGUGGCCUUAAUGAUUAAGUCUUGUAGAUAAGGGGAGCUUGCACUGGAAGGAGCUCAUUAUUUGACAACAGCGGAGCUCGUGAGUCUCACUGAGCAGCAGCUUGUGGACUGUGAUCAUGAGAAAGUGAGAGGCUUGUCUUGUUAAGCUUUCAUGAACAAGAGCUAAAGCUGCUAGUAUAUGCUUUUGCCUUUGAAAUAUAGGUUUGGAUCUUUUCCUUCAAGUCUAAGAAUAAUGAACUACCAAGAGAGUUUUGUCCUGUAAACCAUAUGUAAACCACGUUUGCUGCAAUAUAAGUUUCUUCUGUUCCAAAAUCCUUGCUAUGUUCUUUUAUUUCCUUCAUUAUUUUGUUGAUUGUUUGACUAGUUUUGAAUAAGAAUCCUCUUUGUAGAAUGAAAGAAUAUGUACCUCCAAUAGGUCAUAUCGUAAUAAACAGACAAUCGUAACAAAAAGAAUAUUUCCUCGCUAUAGACUAAAAUUUAAUAACGAAAAAGAUAAUUUUCUCUCUAUA